UUGGCUAUGGCCCUAAAAAUAAAUUAAAAAAAAAAAAAAAGAGCAAAGACUUCUGGCUUAAGGCUUAAAAUGAUAGCAUUUGAAGGCAGAAAGAGGACAUGAUAAAGGAACCCUAGGUAGAAGCAGUAUUACCUCGCAUAUGUCUUUAUUUCAAAGCCUAUUUCACAAAGUGUGCUCAAAGAUUUCCUAAACAUCACCUAACUAACUGGAGGAGUCUGGCAGGCUAUUCAAGGCAAAGGUAGGGGGUGCACUGCCCACAUGGGCAUUGGGGGAUGGGGUGUAAUCCCCACGGUUAGCUGCUGAACAGCCUUCCUUGUUGGGCAUCUGGACUUCACAAAGACAGAAAAAAUUAGCAGGGAGAAGAGCUUGCUUGGGUAAUCAGGUGAAAUGCAGUUGGGAAUCUUAGCACAAAAAGGAAAGAGUUCAUAACAAAAUAUAUUUCAAUUUUGUGAUUGUUCUGGGGUUUGCUUUAUUCUGAGAAGAUGCAUUUCACAGGGAUAGGGAUAAGAGGAUGGUGACUUAAAAACAAAGAAAAAACCCACAAUAUCUAUCUUAUCCUAACCAUAAUAAAGUGUUUAUCAAAUAUCUUGUAAAGAUAGUAACCAUUAUUACAUGAUUUCACGCUUUAAUUUUUAAAGUUGACAACAGAAAGUCUUUGAAAUGACAAUUUGAAGUAUUAAAAAGUACCUACACCACUAUAAUCACCUUAAAUCACAAAAACCUGAUUCCAGAUACCAAACGCACAGUUUUUAAACGUUCUAAUAAAAGAAGUAAAAUGUAUUUGUUUCAAACAUAACCGUGUGUGCGUGCGAACGCACUUUAAAAAAUACUGAGCAAAGGUAAAAUUCUGAACCAAACACUUGGCAACUUAGUUCAAUACCAUAAAUAAUAACAAUCAUGCUACCGGGCAUUAUCAUAAGUAGUUUUUAACAACACAGACUUUUAUCAUCCUAGAAGGAGGAGCAAAAGGUAUUCUAAAGCCCGCCUAUCUGGCCCUUUACAAAAAAAAAAAAAAAAAAAAAAAGAAAGAAAAAGCAAAAGCAAGAGGUAAUUUCCCUCCAACACCUCUAUGUAACUGUCACUGCCUCCCGUAGCAUCCCACCCUAUUCUGGCUUGCUAGAGGAACUAUGCACAGUGACAUUUCAGAAAACCCCAGAGGUAAGAGACAACACCUGUAAGAGAAAAGCUUCCUGUUUCAAACAGGUUUCAUAUAAAGUUACCAAACGAGGUCCGUUACUGUAAAAGAGAGAGAAUCAAAAAAUAGCUCCAUUUAUAAUCGGGGACAUUCUUAAGGUGCCCUUUCGCCUUUCCGUUUGUUCUGCUUUUGAAAAUUUCAAAGAAAACUGUUGAAUUCCUAAGUACCUAGGGCCCGUAUUUCACAGGCAACAACAAUCUGGACGGCACACUCAUUCAAUUAACAACACAAUAAAGCGAAUACCGAGUGACCUCCAGACAAAGAGUAAAGCAGUUAAUUACAACUACAGAGCGGAAAACUGGGCCAAUCCUAGAGUAACGCAAUAAUGCCGAGUCACGAAACUGCGCACUCCCAGCGAAACUUUUCCUAGACACAGAGUAAAUCGGAGGCAACCUCUGCAGUGCUCAGCCCCUAACAAACGUGAACGACCGUAUUCGAAAGAGUAAAAUCGCGCGCUAUCCAUUCCCGAAGUUGUUGACCUUUCUGUAACGAAAGGCUGCCGAACUUCCACGAAAGCUGGAAGCGCUAGGAGAGGCUGAAUAAUCGCUGCGGUUUUCCAAGAUAUAUAAAGAACAGGAGUUCUUGCUGUGGCACAAAGGGAUCAACUGCGGCUUGGGAGCCCUGAAAUGCAGGUGUGAUCCUGGUGCAGCACAGUAGGUUAAAAAUCCAGUGUUGCCACAGCUGCGGCUUAAGUUGCACCUGUGGCUCCCAUCUGAUCCCUGGCCCAGGAACUCCAUAUGCUGUGGGGUGGCCAAAAAGAAGAAGGAAAACAAAACAGCAACAACAACAACUAUAUGUGUGUGUGUGUGUGUGUGUGUGUGUGUGUGUGUAUCCCUUAAAACCUAAUAAUUAACAAGGAAUAUAUUACAAAAUCAUUUUCAUUUUGAAGAAGUAAUCAGAAUAUAGAGCCAAGAAAGAAGUCUACCCCCAAAAGAGCAAGCACCACAAAACUGGAUCUUCCCCUGUUCCUUAGGCUGAAGUGGAACUGAUAAGGAAGCAAUCGUCAGAUAAUGAAAGGGAAGCUCAGAAGGUUUAUAUAAUAUAUUCUGAGCUUCACAGCAAGUACCUGACAAAGCCAAGAUUCCCAAAAAUUGUUUUCAGGAUGAUCUGCUGAAAUUAACAUCUUGUUGCCUUCAGUCCUCACCUCUGUAUAACGGGGAUACCAGUGACGACGUCAGAGGGCUGUGCGAGCCUCAGUAGGAUGAUGUGUGCCACACUCCCUUCCUACCAAGAGGCCAGUGCUUGGAGCGGUUAAGGAAGAGCACAGACCCAAAACUAGCGCCUGCGUUCCGAUUCUAAGUCUGCCUUGUUGGCUUUCUGAUCCUAGACAAAUUUCCUUUAGCCAUCUCCACCACAUUUCCUCACUGGUAAAAUGCGGUAUUGCUCGUAACUACUUUUUGACUUAGUAUGUAAAGUGCUUAGGGAAAAAAAAAAAACUUUUCCCUUAAAUCCAGUGUGCUUGGCACAUGGUAAGCACUAUAGAAAAGGUAGUUAAAUUUUAAAAAUACUUUGAACAUAGUAGAUGCUAAAUAAAUGGUAGCUAUUGUACACUGAUUUUAAAUAUUAUAUGUGUGUGUGUGUGUGUGUAUUAGAAGGAACAUUUCUGAUCUUUGGUGAAAAUUCAUUUACUGCCAGUCAUUAUAGGCGCCCAGAAUGCUAAGGCUUGUAGCUACCAUAAUAAGUUCCCUGGAGUUGGGGAGUGGGGAGAAGAGGUGGGAGGAAAGGGGGUAACAGUGUUUUUCAGAUUUGGGGGUUAAACAACUAGAUGUGCCUCUAAGGUGCUGUUUACUGAGAUGGGAGACACCGGAGUAGGACUGCACAUAAAAGAGAAGGAGGAGAAAGAGAACUAACAAUUGUUUAGUGUCUUCCAGGUACCAAGCCUUGUGCUAGGCACUUUGUAUUCAAAUGACAUCAUUUCACUCUCAGAACCACCCUACAGGUUCUACCAUGGUAACUAUAAGAUUGGUUUUGAAAUCUGUGAGUGUCUUUCUGUUUUAUAAUUAAGUUCUUUUGUGUCACUUUUUAUUGCAUGAGAACAGCAUAUGCACACUACUGCAUAAAACAGAUGAUUAAGGAGAACCUACUGUAUAGCAUAGGAAAAUCUACUCAAUAGUUUGUAAUAACCCAUAUGGUUAAAAAGAAUGGAUAUAUUUACAUGUAUGACUGAAUCACUUUGCUGUACACUUGAAACUACUACAACAUUGUAAGUCAACAAUACUCCAAUAAAAUUUUUAAAACUCUCCUUCUGGGUAUUUCUCUCUGUUUCACAGAUCUGUGAAAAUCUUUGAAGAAGUGUGUUAUGCCAUAUAAGCAAGUAAAUCGACUUGUCAAAUAAAAAAAAUUUUUUUAAACAAAAAAGUUGUAAGAGUUAUUCCCUCUACUCCUUCCCCCUGCCCUUAAGUUCUGAAAUUUCACAUCAACAGUUAGCUUGGUGUAUUAGAGUAGUCUGUACCUUCAGCUAAAAGCAACCCUUUCCUAUUAUUCCCUGUAGCUUUAUAUUUAAUGCCUCCAUAGACAAAGAACUUUCUGAGGUGCCAUGCAGGCUGGAAAAGUUCAGUAAUAACUUGGACAUCUGUAGUUAGAUCACUCUGCCCAGAAAUAGCAUGGGAGUUGCUGCAUUUCUCUAAUACUUACGCUAGGCACAGACAUACUAACAUGGAACUAAAAUUCAUGGUAUAACAAUAUCGUACAUUCACUUAGGAAUGUUGCCUGUAUCAAUUUCAACAUUAAUAUAAUGUAAUUGGUUCCAACUCCUCAAUCUUCUGAAUAAUGCAUGGCAUCUGUACUACCUCAAACUUUUGGAAACUAAAUACAUUAAACUAGGCAGAACCUCAGAUGGCCAAAAGAAUUUGUGUUUUUAAUGGUGAUACUUAACUUUCUAACCAAAAAAACAAAAACAAAACCAAACCCCAAAAAACAAGUUCCAAAUCAUAGAACCCUUGAUGUUUCAAACAAAAGCACUACUAAGGGAAAGUGUCAUUGGUUUUUUAAAUUUACUAUAGGGCAAAUAUUAGGUAGAACUAUAUGAAAGUGCUGGUAUCAUAAAGAGCAGAGUUCAUAAAUCUCAGGGAACAUUAACUACCAUAGUUAUUUUCUAACCCCCCGCAUUUUUCAAAAAUCCUUUCAUUCUGUUGGGAAACCCAAACCAAGAGCUUUCUAAACUUUACUAAGCAUGUAUUGCUACUAUUUCCUUUUUAAAUUAUAUCACAACUUUCUUAUAAUCAACCUAUACACACACACACACACAUAUAAAACAGAGACACAAAAAUCAAUAUUUUUGCUCUUGAGUUUUAAAGUCGGUUCUUGAUAUUGUGACUAUCAAUAGCAUAUACAUUUUAUGCUUGCAUGAUGCUGCAUGGUUGUCAGCAUGCUUGUGCACAUAUCACUCUGGGCAGUCUCUAUGACCCUAUUUUAGUCCCUGUUUUAGCCAGGCAUUAUUGUUACUCCAGCCCUCACACCAGGCACCUGGCAAAUAUUAGUCACACAUUAUGGGAGAAGAAACAGAGGCUCAGUGAGGGGACCUGCCCUGAAGGGGCUUGGCUAACACAUAGCUGAGUGCAAGGUAUUCACUAUGUCUCAGUUAAGUGAAUGGUCCAACAGUGCCUCAGUUAUUUGGGGGGGAAAGUGCAUUCCAAUACCCCACUGUGAAGGAGGCUCUACUGUCAGCCAGGAACAUAUAUCAGGACGUAGAAUCCCUGCCUCUCUCACCUCUGGGCUCUCCUGUACGCCAGCCGCUCUCAGGCAGCCUCCACACCAAAGUAAAGAGGAAACUCAUGGCCAUGGCUGCAGAGGCCAGAGCCCUCCCCUCACCCACAGGGGUUUCUUGGUGCCUGAGAAACCCCCACAGGCUGCUGCCGCUCAGCUGCUAACCCCAAAUCAGCAGCAAGAAAGCAGACCCCAAUGUGGAAGAGGAAAGACUUUUUGAAAAUGUGAUUUUGUUCCUAGGGAAUUUAAAAAUUAAUCUCAUCCCACUGCUCUUUUUGGGUAGGUGAGGUUAUUUUCCCACGUGCUGGCAGGAAGGAUCCUCUUUAUUAAUGUUCUGUUGAUGAUCACGAAUGUGGGGAAAGGGCAGGAUGGCCUGGCCCAGGGCUUUGCAUUCCGCAACAUGCAUGCACACCUCUGAAUGCUUUAAAAGCAGAUUCAAAUUUCAUAGGUCUGAGUGGGGCCUCAGACUCUGCAUUUCUGGCAAGCUGCCGAGGAUUGCCGAUGUUGCUGAUCCAAAGACCAUAUUUUGAGUAGCGAGGAACUAAAUCACUAGAAACGGUCCUUAUAGCCCCAAGGAUUUAUGAGACUAGGACACAGCUAAAGAUUAUUCAUGAUUUUUAUUUUUCCUGAAAGCAACAACCAAAAAGAAAAACUAGCUGAUUUUACCUUUCCUUUGUUAAUUUUUUUUUAAUGGAAAUGAGUGUCUGAAUGAAAUAGACUUCUGUUUCCUAGUGUCUGAGAAUAAACUAGACGCCGGGUUGAACAGGUGUUUCUCUCUCUCUCUCUUAGAGCCCCAGAGCCACAGAGAAAUGUGGGGCUGCUCGCUUCUGGUUCAUCCCCUUCCAUAAUUUUCCCUUCUAGUCAUCUCUGCCUCUGCCUGAUUCUUUUCUUUUUGUUCCUAUAAAGAUUUAGGGUUGUUAUUAACUGGAGACAGAUUGUAGCAGGAAUGCCACAGUUGUUUUAGCCUCUGCAGUUGGCUGCAUUCUUUUGAAAUUAGCCUGAAAUUAGAUCGUGGCUCAAGAGAACCAUAGGAUAACAUCAGCAUACAAUUUUCCAGCAACUUUGGAUCAGCCCUAUCUAGACGGGCAUGUCAAGGCUAUCCACAGUGAUUCUUCUGCAGCCUGUUUUGUUUUUGUUUUUUAACUUUUAAUUUUUUAGGCAAAGAAGAAGAUGCCAAAACAGUGGUUUCAUGGACUUCACCCAGCUCUCUCUAAUAGUACAUUAUCAAAAAUAGGAAAUUUACACUGGUAUAGUUCUUAAUAGAACUAUGUUAACAUGUUAAGAUGUUAAUAGAACUGUGUUAAUACAGAGACCAUACUUGGAUUUCACUAGUUGUUACAUGCAUCCUUUUUUGGGGGGUGUGGGGGGAGAGUGUAUAAUACUAUGAAAUUAUAUAGAUGAAUCACAUUAUACACAAUCUGACUGUUAAAAAUUGGCCCCGGAUUCUGGUCCAAGCUCUUUUCAGUUUUCAUUUGUCACAUGCUCCAUGGACUUUCAUCCAUAAUUGUAAUGUUAAUUACCUUUUGCAUUUGGGUAAUUUUCAAAUUGAUAGCCCUACCUCUCUCUUGAGCUCUUCACCUAAGCAUUUCAUGGCCUACUUCCAGACACUCCCUGAAUAUUUUAUCUGCACUUUAAACUUAAACAUAUUGGAAACUAAACUAGUACAAUGCCUGCAAUAGAUUAGGUGGUUGAUGGAUAUUUGUGGGAUAAAUGAGUGGACUAAAGACACAUCACAUCACUUCAGAGCGCACAGUGUGUUGGCGGUAAGGUCUCAUGUUCUGAUUUCCUAACUCCUUCUUAAACAGAACCAACAGUCAAAUCCUGUGAAUUCUACCUGCUUUAAUCCACCCACCACCGCCGCCCUGGUUCAGGCUGUUGUCAUUUCUUACUAGGAAUUUCGCAAUAGCCUCCUCUCUCUGAUCCCUAACCCAAGUCAUUCUCCGUCUAUGACCAGAGUUUUCUAAAGCACAAUUUGCUUCACUUCACUCUUCUGCUCGAAACCUUUAAUUAUUUCACAUUGCCUGGAGAACAAAUCUAAACUCUUUAGAAAGGCACUCAAGACCUUCCAUAAAAUCUGGUCUGACUUUCCAUUGCAGCCUCAGCCCUUUCUUCUCUUAAUAUCUUCGGUGUUCCAGCCACAUGGCACUUUCGGCUGUUCUGGAACAGACUCUGCAUUCCACAGUUCUUUGCUUUCUAAAUCUAUUUCAAAGGUCAAAGAUUCCACCGAAGGUUAUCACAUCCCUCCCCCAAAAUUAUCACACCGUGAUCACCACCGUCAGCACCACGAGUACCCUUGCCUUGCCCCCCCUGCAGAAGUCUCUACAUGUCCUCAUUAGUUCAAAGGUAAUUUUAUGUAUCUCUCCCCAUUCUGACGUCCUGCCUACAUGGGGAUUCUGAAUCCAGCAGUUUUAAAGAAUCAUUCAAACAUCUUAGUAUCUGUUAUGCACAAAAUGAGGACUCCAUUUACGAUACUCAACUCUGUUUCUGGCUGAAAAUGUGAAGGUCGCUGAGUUCUGAAACUAUAUUAGUUAUAAAAGCUGAGAACCCACACACACUUUUUUGUGUGUUUUAACAUAGUGUAGGAGUUCCUGUCAUGGCUCAGUGGUAACAAAACCAACUAGUAUACAGGAAGACUCGG
Long non-coding RNA from Sus scrofa (pig), 7538 nucleotides. RefSeq lists it as uncharacterized. Lineage: Eukaryota; Metazoa; Chordata; Mammalia; Artiodactyla; Suidae. The record is from RefSeq and is a predicted model, not a curated record.